Long non-coding RNA from Acipenser ruthenus (sterlet), 859 nucleotides. RefSeq lists it as uncharacterized. NCBI's taxonomy places the organism in Eukaryota, Metazoa, Chordata, Actinopteri, Acipenseriformes, Acipenseridae. The record is from RefSeq and is a predicted model, not a curated record. The transcript has 4 exons.
AGUCCAAGAGGACGCGUAACGUGACGUAACACUGAGUAAGACGUGAAGUACGGCCUGACAGCGGUAGGGGAAAGGGAAAAAUAAUUUUAAAAUUCGCUGUUUGUUUUUGUCACCCUAAUUUGUAUAAACGGCAGAAAACUGUUGAUGAACCGUCUGAAGAUAGGAAGCUAGCAGCUACCACCGGCAGUCCUGCACCAGUCAAACGAUACAUCCAGCUGUUGACUACAGGGCUCUGUCCUGCAUUACAUGCCACGGAAGAACAGUGAACAUGCUCUGUGUGCUGGUACCAAUGGAAAGAGAGUGGAGGGACCGAAGUGUUGCCGUGACCAAGUUAAUCCCCGGAUAUGAUUCAGAUCAAACAAGUUUGGAACCUGAUAAAUGUCAACCGUCGCAACAUCCACAUCGACCCAGAAUUGUUCAAGCCCAGGUGGAGGCCCUUGUUCAAUUAUGGAGCAACAUACCUCAGGAGAAGACUUCCACUGUCAUUCAGGGAAUGCCCGGUGGGGUCAGUGUUUUACAUUGGGCAAAAGGACAAUACAUAAGAAACCCACUUUGCAAGAGGUCAGGACCACAAGGAGAAAUAGAAUUUCAAGAACCUGCAAAAUAUACACCUAGAGUUUCAUAGCUAAAGAUAGGAAAUGCUCCUCCUGGUUGUUUUACUAUUAUCAUUGGAAACCUGCACCUCCUGCUGAUCAUCAUCAAACUGCCAGUAUUUAAAAAAGGAUCUAAAGAUCUAAGAAUCUUAAAAUCCCAUAUGAGUGGCCUUUUCUUACAUUGCACCUUUAGACUGCUCUCAGAUGUCACAGGUUUUAAACAAUGUGGUAUGUUUAACUGGUGCAAUAUUACUAUGAUGUGUUUG